RNAcentral lists this ribosomal RNA (884 nucleotides) under uncultured archaeon. RNAcentral describes it as "bacterial SSU rRNA". It matches the Rfam family "Archaeal small subunit ribosomal RNA", at positions 29 to 922 of the family's 1478-position model. The record is from RNAcentral.
CCCAUGGGAUGUCUAAGCCGUGCGAGUCAUUGUAGUAAUACAAGGCAGACGGCUCAGUAACGCGUAGUCAACCUACUCUAAGGACGGGGAUAACCUCGGGAAACUGAGAAUAAUACCCGAUAGAACAUAGCUCCUGGAAUGGUUUAUGUUUCAAAUAAUUUAUUGCCCUAGGAUGGGACUGCGGCCUAUCAGUUUGUUGGUGAGGUAAUGGCCCACCAAGACUAUUACAGGUACGGGCUCUGAGAGGAGUGGCCCGGAGAUGGGUACUGAGACACGGACCCAGGCCCUAUGGGGCGCAGCAGGCGAGAAAACUUUGCAAUGUGCGAAAGCACGACAAGGUUAAUCCGAGUGGUUUCUGCUAAAGGAACCUUUUGUCAGUCCUAGAAACACUGAUGAAUAAGGGGUGGGCAAGUUCUGGUGUCAGCCGCCGCGGUAAAACCAGCACCUCAAGUGGUCAGGAUGAUUAUUGGGCCUAAAGCAUCCGUAGCCGGCUUUGUAAGUUUUCGGUUAAAUCCAUGCGCUCAACGUAUGGGCUGCCGGGAAUACUGCAAAGCUAGGGAGUGGGAGAGGUGGACGGUACUCGGUAGGAAGGGGUAAAAUCCUUUGAUCUAUUGAUGACCACCUGUGGCGAAGGCGGUCUACCAGAACACGUCCGACGGUGAGGGAUGAAAGCUGGGGGAGCAAACCGGAUUAGAUACCCGGGUAGUCCCAGCUGUAAACUAUGCAAACUCAGUGAUGCAUUGGCUUGAUGCCAAUGCAGUGCUGCAGGGAAGCCGUUAAGUUUGCCACCUGGGAAGUACGUACGCAAGUAUGAAACUUAAAGGAAUUGGCGGGGGAGCACCACAAGGGGUGAAGCCUGCGGUUCAAUUGGAGUCAACGCCGGA